This 234-nucleotide ribosomal RNA is filed under the name uncultured bacterium. Its description in RNAcentral is "partial 16S ribosomal RNA". It matches the Rfam family "Bacterial small subunit ribosomal RNA", at positions 118 to 347 of the family's 1533-position model. The record is from RNAcentral.
UGAGCAAUCUGCCCUUCUCAUCGGAAUAAGCGUUGGAAACGACGUCUAAUGCCGAAUACGACCUCCUUUCGCAUGAUCGGAGGUGGAAAGCUCCGGCGGAGAAGGAUGAGCUCGCGGCCUAUCAGCUAGUUGGUGUGGGUAAUGGCCCACCGAAGGCGACGACGGGUAGCCGGCCUGAGAGGGUGACCCGGCCACACUGGGACUGAGACACGGCCCAGACUCCUACGGGAGCAG